Egretta garzetta (little egret) is the source of this 116-nucleotide long non-coding RNA. RefSeq lists it as uncharacterized. The transcript has 3 exons. The record is from RefSeq and is a predicted model, not a curated record. Lineage: Eukaryota; Metazoa; Chordata; Aves; Pelecaniformes; Ardeidae.
UGUAAGGCCUUUCUACCCUCGAGGGAGUCCACAGCUCCUACUAGUUCAGUAUCAUCGGCAAACUUACUUAAGUUACAUUCAACUCCUGCAUCCAGAGCUUUUUUUAAAGAAUUAAA